GACGAACGCUGGCGGCGUGCUUAACACAUGCAAGUCGAACGGAAAGGCCCUGCUUUUGUGGGGUGUUCGAGUGGCGAACGGGUGAGUAACACGAGAGUAACCUGCCCUUGACUUUGGGAUAACUUCAGGAAACUGGGGCUAAUACCGGUUAUGAGCUCCUGCUGCAUGGUGGGGGUUGGAAAGUUUCGGCGGUUGGGGAUGGACUCGCGGCUUAUCAGCUUGUUGGUGGGGUAGUGGCUUACCAAGGCUUUGACGGGUAGCCGGCCUGAGAGGGUGACCGGCCACAUUGGGACUGAGAUAAGGCCCAGACGCAGACGGGAGGCAGGAGUGGGGAAUAUUGCACAGUGGGCGGAAGCCUGAUGCAGCAACGCCGCGUGCGGGAUGACGGCCUUCGGGUUGUAGACCGCUUUCGCCUGUGACGAAGCGUGAGUGACGGUAAUGGGUAAAGAAGCACCGGCUAACUACGUG
Molecule: ribosomal RNA, 468 nt
Filed under: uncultured bacterium
Lineage: Bacteria
Description: partial 16S ribosomal RNA
Rfam family: Bacterial small subunit ribosomal RNA
Source: RNAcentral